GGUCGCGGCUUCUUAGAGGGACUAUCGACUCUUAUCUAAUGGAAGUUUGAGGCAAUAACAGGUCUGGGAUGCCCUUAAAUGUUCUGGGCCGCACGCGCGCUACACUGAUGAAGCCAACAAGUCUACAACCUUGGCCGGAAGGUCUGGGUAAUCUUGUGAAACUUGUUCGUGUUGGGGAUAAACCAUUGCAAUUAUUGUUCUUCAACAAGGAAUUCCUAGAAAGCGUGAGUCAUCACAUCGCGUUGAUUACGUCCCUGCCCUUUGUACACACCGCCCGUCGCU
Molecule: ribosomal RNA, 282 nt
Filed under: uncultured fungus
Lineage: Eukaryota; Fungi
Description: partial 18S ribosomal RNA
Rfam family: Eukaryotic small subunit ribosomal RNA
Source: RNAcentral